UACGUAGGGUGCAAGCGUUGUCCGGAAUUAUUGGGCGUAAAGAGCUCGUAGGCGGUCUGUCGCGUCGGAUGUGAAAGCCCGGGGCUUAACCCCGGGUCUGCAUUCGAUACGGGCAGACUAGAGUGUGGUAGGGGAGAUCGGAAUUCCUGGUGUAGCGGUGAAAUGCGCAGAUAUCAGGAGGAACACCGGUGGCGAAGGCGGAUCUCUGGGCCAUUACUGACGCUGAGGAGCGAAAGCGUGGGGAGCGAACAGG
This 253-nucleotide ribosomal RNA is filed under the name uncultured bacterium. RNAcentral's name for it is "partial 16S ribosomal RNA". It matches the Rfam family "Bacterial small subunit ribosomal RNA", at positions 524 to 776 of the family's 1533-position model. The record is from RNAcentral.